CCUACGGGUGGCAGCAGUGGGGAAUAUUGGACAAUGGGCGAAAGCCUGAUCCAGCCAUGCCGCGUGUGUGAAGAAGGCCUUCGGGUUGUAAAGCACUUUCAGUGGGGAAGAAAGCCUUGGGGCUAAUACCCUCGAGGAAGGACAUCACCCACAGAAGAAGCACCGGCUAACUCCGUGCCAGCAGCCGCGGUAAUACGGAGGGUGCGAGCGUUAAUCGGAAUUACUGGGCGUAAAGCGCGCGUAGGCGGUCUGAUAAGCCGGUUGUGAAAGCCCCGGGCUCAACCUGGGAACGACAUCCGGAACUGUCAGGCUAGAGUGCAGGAGAGGAAGGUAGAAUUCCCGGUGUAGCGGUGAAAUGCGUAGAGAUCGGGAGGAAUACCAGUGGCGAAGGCGGCCUUCUGGACUGACACUGACGCUGAGGUGCGAAAGCGUGGGUAGCAAACAGGAUUAGAUACCCCAGUAGUC
RNAcentral lists this ribosomal RNA (465 nucleotides) under Vreelandella stevensii. RNAcentral's name for it is "partial 16S ribosomal RNA". It matches the Rfam family "Bacterial small subunit ribosomal RNA", at positions 338 to 795 of the family's 1533-position model. The record is from RNAcentral. Lineage: Bacteria; Pseudomonadati; Pseudomonadota; Gammaproteobacteria; Oceanospirillales; Halomonadaceae.